CAGGUCCAUUCUCGAUUUUCAACAAACUCUUUCCAGGUGAUGGUCUUCUAAAAUGCAAAGAACUAGGCUUGUCAAAGAAUGAGAUGAAGAAGCUUCUACCCAUCAUUGAUGCCAACUCUUCUAAUUCAGAAGCAUUUGAUGGCGUCUUGGAGCUUCAAGUUCGUGCUGGCAGAAGUCUGCCUGAAGCUAUCAUGAUGAUGAUACUUGAGGUGUGGCAAAAUGUUAAAAACAUGGAUCAUGAUAGAAAGGCCUUGUACGGAUAUUUUUCAGCUCUUAUGGAGCCAUGAGAUGGACCUGCACUUAUAUCAUUUACUGAUGGCCGCUAUCUUGGAGCGACAUUGGACCAGAAUGGAUUGCGCUCCGGAUGCUUUUACAUCACACAUAGUAGACGCAUGAUCAUGGCCAGUGAGGUUGGUGUUAUAGACAUCUGCCAGGAGAUGUGGCUAGGAAAGGAAGACAUUUGAUCGGUCCAGAAGGGGACCUUACUGAAAUAGUUCAUGUGGAAGGCUAUGUGGCAGUUCAUGUGCAUUUGUAUUUUGUUUUGAAAACUUUAAAUAGACCAUUAAUUGUUUUGUUGAUAUUGUGUUGAUUGUUGUCUUGAUGAAUGUUAAAUGGGUGAAAUAUGCACAGGCUCAAUCAUUUGUUGAUUAUGA
Molecule: long non-coding RNA, 653 nt
Organism: Magnolia sinica
Lineage: Eukaryota; Viridiplantae; Streptophyta; Magnoliopsida; Magnoliales; Magnoliaceae
Exons: 3
Source: RefSeq, a predicted model, not a curated record